This 1221-nucleotide long non-coding RNA is filed under the name Rattus norvegicus (Norway rat). RNAcentral describes it as "long non-coding RNA NONRATT030630". Lineage: Eukaryota; Metazoa; Chordata; Mammalia; Rodentia; Muridae. The record is from RNAcentral.
AAGGCAUAUUGAACGGCUUUGUCCCUCUGCGCUCUCCGUUGGAAAACUUGAACCGAGAGGGUCAUAGGUAUGGCGGCCUUUAGGAUGAGAAAGUUGACAACCAUGCCUGCAGGUCUGAUAUAUGCAUCUAUAAAUGUGCAUCUGGCCAAAGAAGAGGAACCCAAAAAGCAGCUAGUGAGACCAGAACAGCUCCCCAUAUAUACUGCACCACCUCUCCAUUCUAAAUAUGUUGAAGAACAGCCUGGUUAUUUACAAAGGGGAUUUACUUCCAUCCGUACUACAACUGCUUAUUAUAUUGGCUGGUGCAAGGGCAUUUAUCUCUUUAUGAAAAAUGGGGUCAUGGAUACAGUACAAAUUGGAAAAGAUGCAUAUGUCUAUCUGAAGAAUCCUCCUCAAGAUUUUCUUCCCAAAAUGGGAGUGAUUACAGCUUCAGGAUUGGCAGGUUUGCUUUCAGCAAGAAAAGGUUCUAGGUUUAAGAAGAUUGCUUAUCCACUGGGACUGGCCACAUUAGGAGCAACUGAAUUACUCCCUGAACCAAAGGAAGAAACCAAGGAAGGAAGGCCUGAUGAAAUCCAUGCCAAAACGCCUGACCUGGAACAUUCGGUGUUUUUGCUAAAAGAACUUGCCUCUGCAACAAAGAUUAAAUCAGAAUCCACCUCAGGUACUACACAGUUUAUACCUGACCCCAAGCUCAUGGACCAUGGGCAGUCUCAUCCAGAUGAUAAAGAUAUGUACAGCACUAGAAGCUGAACUUGAAGCUACAUAGAGAACUGCAAGAUGUACUACGUUGCAAACAAUGAUGAAAAAAAAAUCACAUAAUGAACGGGUAACUGACAGAAUGUGACUUGAAAUUUUUCCAUGACAUUUUCAAAUAAACAGUUUGGUCAAUGAGACAAAUGGUAAAAACAUAAAUUAAUGAAUACAACACAAAUAAUAUUAACUGAUUGAUGAGGGAACUGAAGUAGUAGAAAUACUAGGAGUAUAUUCUAUGACUUGUAAUAGAAUUUAUUAGAAAGCAAAAUGAAGUGAAGAUAUAAAUGUCAGUAAGACUGAAUUCUAAAAACAUGCAUAUAAAAAUAUAUGUAUGUAUAUAUGUAUGUAUUUAUGUAUCUGCUUCAGUUUUCCCAAUUAUUGCCAGUUAACUUAGAAUGGGGUCUAGAACAAUAUGUUUUUCACUUGACUUUUUUUUAGUGCUGGAAUAAAAUAUCCAUAUUUUAUGGC